ACGUAGGGACCAAGCGUUGUUCGGAUUUACUGGGCGUAAAGGGCGCGUAGGCGGCCUGGCAAGUGGAAGGUGAAAUCCCUCGGCUUAACCGAGGAACUGCCUUCCAGACUGCUUGGCUUGAGACCAGGAGAGGUGAGUGGAAUUCCCAGUGUAGCGGUGAAAUGCGUUGAUAUCGUUCGGAACACCAAUAGCGUAGGCAGGCUUCUGGGUGCCACCUGACACUGCUAGGACGAAAGCGUGGGGAGCGAAUGGGA
This 254-nucleotide ribosomal RNA is filed under the name uncultured prokaryote. Its description in RNAcentral is "partial 16S ribosomal RNA". It matches the Rfam family "Bacterial small subunit ribosomal RNA", at positions 525 to 777 of the family's 1533-position model. The record is from RNAcentral.